RNAcentral lists this ribosomal RNA (274 nucleotides) under uncultured Methanomicrobiales archaeon. RNAcentral describes it as "partial 16S ribosomal RNA". It matches the Rfam family "Archaeal small subunit ribosomal RNA", at positions 1066 to 1338 of the family's 1478-position model. The record is from RNAcentral. Lineage: Archaea; Methanobacteriati; Methanobacteriota; Methanomicrobia; Methanomicrobiales.
GCCAGCUCGUCCUCCGGGAGUGGUGGGGACGACUGUUGGGACGCCUCUGCUAAAGAGGAGGAAGGAAUGGGCAACGGUAGGUCAGCAUGCCCCGAAUUAUCUGGGCUACACGCGGGCUACAAUGGGUGGGACAAUGGGUAUCGACACCGAAAGGUGAAGGCAAUCUCCUAAACCCAUCCGUAGUUCGGAUUGUGGGCUGCAACUCGCCCACAUGAAGCUGGAAUCUGUAGUAAUCGUGUCUCAAAAUGGCACGGUGAAUAUGUCCCUGCUCCUU